AUUUUAAAUGGCAUUAUAGCAACAUGUCUGCCGAUCUAACUCUAUUAAUUUAUGCAUUACAAUUCUAUUAAUUUUGGUGGGCUCGUACUUGAACAAAAGAACCAUUUGGCAAAAACUCGAUGGGUGAAUGGCAUUAAUUUGUGCGGCAGAAAUUGGUUGGGAGAUUCAACUUUUAUGCCUCAAAGUAGAGAUAAUGCAACCCUACGAGUUUAAUGGCUCUGAAUUUGAUAAGAACCAGAGAUCUCCCCCUUUCGAAAUUGGAGUUUCCAUCGAUGGCAAAGAGAGUAAGGAUGGUAUCAGUGUUCUUACUUAUUUUGCUCCUCUCCAUGUCGACCUCUCCCAAAAAUUUAUUCAAUGAAGCAACCGAACGCACGGAAAAGCUAGCAUUUCAUGACAUCGAUAAAUCGAUUCUUUCAUCAAAGUACCUUCAAAUUUAUAACAACUCCAAAUAUGGAACUUUGCAGCUGGACAAUGGCUUGGGAAAAACUCCUCCCAUGGGAUGGAAUAGUUGGAACCAUUUUGGCUGCAGUGUAGAUGAAAGGGUCAUCAAAGAAACCGCGGAUGCACUUGUUGCCACGGGACUGGCUGAAUUAGGCUAUGUAUACGUCAACAUAGAUGAUUGCUGGGCCAACAAAGGGAGAAUUCUGGUUUUCGUGUUUCCUCUCUUGGCUCCUGAUCCGAAUACUUUUCCUUCAGGGAUUAAAGCCCUUGCUGAUUAUGUACAUGAGAAAGGCUUGAAGCUUGGAAUAUACGGCGAUGCUGGGAAAUUAACCUGCCAGCAACGACCAGGGUCGUACGGCUUUGAACUUUUGGAUGCAAGAAUGCUAGCAGCUUGGGAGGUGGAUUAUUUGAAGUAUGAUAACUGUUAUGAUAUGGGAAUCAGUCCACAAAAAAGAUACCCAGCUAUGCGUGAUGCCCUAAAUUCAACUGCCCGAAACAUUUUCUACUCAAUUUGUGAAUGGGGUGUUGAUGAUCCGGCAUUAUGGGCUCCUAGAGUUGGAAACAGUUGGCGUACAACAAUUGACAUAAGUGAUUCAUGGGAAAGCAUGACUAGAAUUGCAGAUAUCAAUGAUAAGUGGGCAGAGUAUGCAGGACCUGGUGGUUGGAAUGAUCCAGAUAUGUUGGAAGUUGGCAAUGGUGGCAUGACCUAUCAAGAAUACAGAAGCCAUUUUAGCAUCUGGGCUUUAAUGAAGGCCCCUCUGUUGAUUGGUUGUGAUGUGAGAAACAUGUCUCCACAAACUUUGGAAAUUCUAAGCAAUAAGGAAGUCAUUGAUGUAAACCAAGGGAAACUUAAAUUAUGGACGCAGAUAGUCUUGGGCUCCAGGGAAGAAAAAUUAAAGUUUCUGGCAAAGAUGGUUGUCUUCAGGUGUGGGCAGGUCUCUUAUCAAGUUCUGCACCUGAGAUUCGCUUGGCUAUUGUUCUUUGGAAUCGAUGUUCAACUGCUUCAAUGAUCUCAGUAAGCUGGCUUGAACUUGGAGUUAUAUUCGACGUCAUUGUCUCAGUAAGGGACUUAUGGGAGCACAAAUUUCUAGACAGCAUUAGCCGUGAUUCAUUUGGGGCUGAAGUUGACUCUCAUGACUGCAAGAUGUAUAUCAUGACGCAUAUCCCCUUGUUCCAUUCUGAAUCUUAGACAAUGCUCAGAGACGGGAAGGCCAAGAGAUUUAUGUGAAAGAGCUAGAUUAUGUCAUUACUUAAAUAAAAAGGGUAUCUAGUUUCUCGAUCUCUAUUCCUUUAUGUAAAAGGUAAUCAAAAGUGGAGAGAUUCGUAUCAAAAUGAGUCCUUUAAAUCCACUAGUCUCCCUUUAUAAGUGACUUGUGAGUGAUAAUAAAAUAUGUUAUGAAGUAUUAUUGAAGGGUGUUCCUAUCUAGAACCUAUCAGUUAUACUAUUGAAUCUCUUUCUUA
Molecule: non-coding RNA, 1902 nt
Organism: Cucurbita pepo subsp. pepo (vegetable marrow)
Lineage: Eukaryota; Viridiplantae; Streptophyta; Magnoliopsida; Cucurbitales; Cucurbitaceae
Source: RefSeq, a predicted model, not a curated record